This 556-nucleotide ribosomal RNA is filed under the name uncultured Tomentella. RNAcentral describes it as "eukaryotic LSU rRNA". The stretch from base 147 to 301 matches the Rfam family "5.8S ribosomal RNA". Lineage: Eukaryota; Fungi; Basidiomycota; Agaricomycetes; Thelephorales; Thelephoraceae. The record is from RNAcentral.
UUCUGUUCACGCUCCUCCAUCGUGCACAGGGCCGUAGUUCUAUGGUCUGGGGGACACCUUGUCUUCCUCCUGUAGUUCUAUGUCUUUACCCGUACACCGUACCGAAGUCUUAUGGAAUGUGCACCGCGUUUAACGCAAUACAAUACAACUUUCAGCAACGGAUCUCUUGGCUCUCGCAUCGAUGAAGAACGCAGCGAAAUGCGAUAAGUAAUGUGAAUUGCAGAAUUCAGUGAAUCAUCGAAUCUUUGAACGCACCUUGCGCCCCUUGGCUAUUCCGAGGGGCAUGCCUGUUUGAGUAUCAUGAACACCUCAACUCUCAUGGUUUGCCAUGAUGAGCUUGGACUUUGGGGGUUUUGCUGGCCUGCGGUCAGCUCCUCUCAAACGGAUCAGCUUACCAGUAUUUGGUGGCGUCACGGGUGUGAUAAUUAUCUACACUUGUGGUUGUCUGCUGAGUAACCUUUGGCGACAGGGGUUUGCUGGAGCUUAUAAAUGUCUCUCCCCAGCGAAGACAGCUUUUUGACCGUUCGAUCUCAAAUCAGGUAGGACUACCCGCUGA